AUGUUCCUCAGCUUUUCAUUGAUCUCACACUAACUUUGCAAAGACUCACGUGUUUCAUGCUGCACUGUAGCAAAUCAGCCAAGAAUUAAAAUUACAUUAGUUUCAGGAAAACAUUUGAACUUUAAAUCCCCCUUUAAAUCCAAUUCAAGGUAACCUGGACUUUAAACCAGGCAUGAUUGACACUACAUACAGCACUUGGACAUCCCAGGGAAUAAAGAAAAUGUGAUUUAUUUGAGGGGACAUCCUUGUUAUCAUCCUUGAACACAUCCAAAUGAAAUAUAAACUCCCAAGCUGCCACUUUAGAUACCUACAAAUCAGAAAUUUUGUGACAAAAAAAAAUCCAUAUUACUGCCAUAAUAUCACAGAUAGAGCAGUGACUGCUUCAGUGUCCAACUCAAUUGUGUUAUGUGUUAAAUGCCCCAGCUGCUGCAAAAACAUGGUAAAAUGGACUUGGUGUAAAUAUUGAUGAGGAUGAAUGGGAUUUGAUAUGGAACCAUAUAAGGAUAUUGGUGUGUAAUCGUCCCCAAUUGUUACAAUAUAAAACCCUGCACCGCUUGCAAAUCUCUCCCAGUAAAAGACUGAAAAUGAAGCCCCAAGUUUCACCUCUAUGUCUAAAAUGGCGGGACUUAGCCAUAGGUGAAUUGUGUGUGUUAUUGUUGAAGGAAAAAGAAAAGUCAAUUUGUGGUGUUGUACCGACAAGGUGCUCUUUUUUUUUUUUUUUUUUUUUUUAUAAGACUGUAUGUAUGUAAGGGUGGCACGAUGGUAUAGUGGUUAGCACUGUCACCUCACAGCAAGAGGGUUCAAUCCCAGGAGGGAGCCCUUCUGUGCAGAGUUUGCAUGUUCUCCCCGUGUCAGCGUGGGUUUUCUCCAGGUACUCCGGCUUCCUCCCACAGUCCAAAGACAUGCAGGUUAACUGGUGACUCUAAACUGCCCGUAGGUGUGAAUGUGAGUGUGAAUGGUUGUCUGUCUCUAUGUGUCAGCCCUGUGAUAGUCUGGUGACCUGUCCAGGGUGUACCCUGCCUCUUGCCCAACGUCAGCUGGGACAGGCUCCAGCCCUCCCGCAACCCUCAAGAGGAUAAGCAGUUACGAAAAUGGAUGGAUGGAUGUAACCGGUGGACUCUAGUGAAGUCUGCCUUGUGUUAAUAUAAAGAGGCCCUGAUCGUGGAUAUCUUUCGAGGCAAUCUCAGUUUAUUCCUCUCCUGACAACAAGCGGCAAAAACAAAAUCCUCCGUCAAACACAACUAUACAAACUCCAGCCCCUACUACUAAGCCACACAAGCUUAUGUUGGCAUAAAAUGAACUUAUAAACACAGCUGAAUGAACAUAGAAAUUACCAUGAGAGCCAUGUUGCUUACCUCUCCCACAGAGCACAACAGCAAAAGGGGAGAGGAAAGGUGGGAGACACCCUUUUAUAGGUGGGGUAUCCCCAAAGGGUCAACGCAGGGGUACAGAACUUGUAUCAAACUUGGAGGCCCAAGCGUGUCAGGUAGUAAUUUUGUGGAAUUAUAACACUCAACAUUACAAAUGUACAUUUGACUUGUCGCACAUAUUACUGCUAUAUAAUUGACCCUGUUUCAUGUAAACGUCAAAUUUCCUGUGAAAACAGAAUGUAUCUUGAAAGAAGAGAAGUUGACACGGUGUCCCGGAACGUCCACAACCAACGCACCCAGGGUACCUUGCACAUCGUGUGUGGACGACGAAAGUCCAUGAGCAAAAUGUCAAUAUGUCACGAGGUGCACCUAUGGACUGUACUGUUGUGUUGAUGUUUUGUCAUUUUUAUCCUCGAUUGUUGUGCCAAUCCACCACCAUUUCAUUCUCACCUUCUGGCCUGAAGAGGCCUCUAUCACAACAUCUGAGUGUUAAUAAUCUUACAUCAGGACAUAGACAGUGCAAAGAUUACAGAUUUGAUCCAAAGCAAGCAGCUGUGUUUUUUACUACUUUUUAAUACUUACACAAAGUUCACACAUUUCGUUUUCAUAAACACAUUUCUCACAUAAAAUUCAUUGAUAAUUCCAUUUUCCAUUUCUAUGUGUCUACUGUAUCAGGUCAACUAUUUGUCCAAAUCACAACAAACAAAAAGCUAAACAAACAUCAUGCAUGCAAUAAAAUCUAAAA
Molecule: long non-coding RNA, 2115 nt
Organism: Epinephelus moara (kelp grouper)
Lineage: Eukaryota; Metazoa; Chordata; Actinopteri; Perciformes; Serranidae
Exons: 2
Source: RefSeq, a predicted model, not a curated record